RNAcentral lists this transfer RNA (75 nucleotides) under Mycobacteroides abscessus subsp. abscessus. RNAcentral describes it as "tRNA-His(gtg)". It matches the Rfam family "tRNA". Rfam says of the family: Transfer RNA (tRNA) molecules are approximately 80 nucleotides in length. Their secondary structure includes four short double-helical elements and three loops (D, anti-codon, and T loops). Lineage: Bacteria; Bacillati; Actinomycetota; Actinomycetes; Mycobacteriales; Mycobacteriaceae. The record is from RNAcentral.
GCGGCGUUAGCUCAGCGGCAGAGCCCCGGUUUGUGGAACCGGUGUCCGUCGGUUCGAUCCCGACACGUCGCCCCA